This 460-nucleotide ribosomal RNA is filed under the name uncultured bacterium. RNAcentral describes it as "partial 16S ribosomal RNA". It matches the Rfam family "Bacterial small subunit ribosomal RNA", at positions 338 to 795 of the family's 1533-position model. The record is from RNAcentral.
CCUACGGGCGGCAGCAGUGAGGAAUAUUGGUCAAUGGACGAGAGUCUGAACCAGCCAAGUCGCGUGAAGGAUGACUGCCCUAUGGUUUGUAAACUUCUUUUAUAUGGGAAUAAAACGUUCCACGUGUGGGAUUUUGUAUGUCCCCUAUGAAUAAGCAUCGGCUAACUCCGUGCCAGCAGCCGCGGUAAUACGGAGGAUCCGAGCGUUAUCCGGAUUUAUUGGGUUUAAAGGGAGCGUAGGUGGAUUGUUAAGUCAGUUGUGAAAGUUUGCGGCUCAACCGUAAAAUUGCAGUUGAAACUGGCAGUCUUGAGUACAGUAGAGGUAGGCGGAAUGCGUGGUGUAGCGGUGAAAUGCUUAGAUAUCACGAAGAACUCCGAUUGCGAAGGCAGCUUACUGGACUGCAACUGACACUGAGGCUCGAAAGUGUGGGGAUCAAACAGGAGUAGAUACCCCAGUAGUC